RNAcentral lists this ribosomal RNA (499 nucleotides) under uncultured bacterium. RNAcentral describes it as "partial 16S ribosomal RNA". It matches the Rfam family "Bacterial small subunit ribosomal RNA", at positions 28 to 507 of the family's 1533-position model. The record is from RNAcentral.
GACGAACGCUGGCGGCGUGCCUAAUACAUGCAAGUCGAGCGAAGUUUUUCUGGUGCUUGCACUAGAAAAACUUAGCGGCGAACGGGUGAGUAACACGUAAAGAACCUGCCUCAUAGACUGGGACAACUAUUGGAAACGAUAGCUAAUACCGGAUAACAGUAUUUCUCGCAUGAGAGAUAUUUAAAAGUUGGUUAUGCUAACACUAUGAGAUGGCUUUGCGGUGCAUUAGCUAGUUGGUGGGGUAAAGGCCCACCAAGGCGACGAUGCAUAGCCGACCUGAGAGCGAGAUCGGCCACACUGGGACUGAGACACGGCCCAGACUCCUACGGGAGGCAGCAGUAGGGAAUCUUCCGCAAUGGGCGAAAGCCUGACGGAGCAACGCCGCGGGAGUGAAGAAGGAGUUCGGUUCGUAAAGCUCUGUUGUUAGGGAAGAAUGGAUAUGUAGUAACUAUACAUGUAAGAGACGGUACCUAACCAAAAAGCCACGGCUAACUACGUG